This 253-nucleotide ribosomal RNA is filed under the name uncultured bacterium. RNAcentral's name for it is "partial 16S ribosomal RNA". It matches the Rfam family "Bacterial small subunit ribosomal RNA", at positions 524 to 776 of the family's 1533-position model. The record is from RNAcentral.
UACGUAGGGUGCAAGCGUUAAUCGGAAUUACUGGGCGUAAAGCGUGCGCAGGCGGUUUUGUAAGUCUGGCGUGAAAUCCCCGGGCUCAACCUGGGAAUUGCGUUGGAGACUGCAAGGCUAGAAUCUGGCAGAGGGGGGUAGAAUUCCACGUGUAGCAGUGAAAUGCGUAGAGAUGUGGAGGAACACCGAUGGCGAAGGCAGCCCCCUGGGUCAAGAUUGACGCUCAUGCACGAAAGCGUGGGGAGCAAACAGG